RNAcentral lists this ribosomal RNA (19 nucleotides) under Simplicimonas similis. RNAcentral's name for it is "partial large subunit ribosomal RNA". Lineage: Eukaryota; Parabasalia; Tritrichomonadida; Simplicimonadidae. The record is from RNAcentral.
UUCGGUUCUUCAACAUACA